Molecule: ribosomal RNA, 933 nt
Filed under: uncultured bacterium
Lineage: Bacteria
Description: bacterial SSU rRNA
Rfam family: Bacterial small subunit ribosomal RNA
Source: RNAcentral
AAGUCGAGGGGCAGCAUGAUUGAAGCUUGCUUCAAUUGAUGGCGACCGGCGCACGGGUGAGUAACGCGUAUCCAACCUUCCGUACACUCAGGGAUAGCCUUUCGAAAGAAAGAUUAAUACCUGAUGGUAUGAUGAGAUUGCAUGAUAUCAUCAUUAAAGAUUCAUCGGUGUACGAUGGGGAUGCGUUCCAUUAGGUAGUAGGCGGGGUAACGGCCCACCUAGCCUACGAUGGAUAGGGGUUCUGAGAGGAAGGUCCCCCACAUUGGAACUGAGACACGGUCCAAACUCCUACGGGGGGCAGCAGUGAGGAAUAUUGGUCAAUGGACGAGAGUCUGAACCAGCCAAGUAGCGUGAAGGAUGAAGGUCCUACGGAUUGUAAACUUCUUUUAUAAGGGAAUAAAACCUCCCACGUGUGGGAGCUUGUAUGUACCUUAUGAAUAAGCAUCGGCUAACUCCGUGCCAGCAGCCGCGGUAAUACGGAGGAUGCGAGCGUUAUCCGGAUUUAUUGGGUUUAAAGGGAGCGCAGACGGGUCGUUAAGUCAGCUGUGAAAGUUUGGGGCUCAACCUUAAAAUUGCAGUUGAUACUGGCGUCCUUGAGUGCGGUUGAGGUGUGCGGAAUUCGUGGUGUAGCGGUGAAAUGCUUAGAUAUCACGAAGAACUCCGAUUGCGAAGGCAGCACACUAAGCCGUAACUGACGUUCAUGCUCGAAAGUGUGGGUAUCAAACAGGAUUAGAUACCCUGGUAGUCCACACGGUAAACGAUGGAUACUCGCUGUUGGCGAUAUACAGUCAGCGGCUUAGCGAAAGCGUUAAGUAUCCCACCUGGGGAGUACGCCGGCAACGGUGAAACUCAAAGGAAUUGACGGGGGCCCGCACAAGCGGAGGAACAUGUGGUUUAAUUCGAUGAUACGCGAGGAACCUUACCCGGGCUUAA